GACGAACGCUGGCGGCGUGCCUAAUACAUGCAAGUCGAACGCAGUGGGGACGGGUGAGUAACACGUGGGUAACCUCCCAUCAGAGGGGAUCACACUUGGAAACAGGUGCUAAACCGAUACUGAUGGAUGGACCCGCGGUGCAUUAGCUAGUUGGUGAGGUAACGGCUCACCAAGGCCACGAUCCCUAGCUGGUCAGAGAGGAUGACCAGCAAAACUGGAACUGAGACACGGUCCAGACUCCUACGGGAGGCAGCAGUGGGGAAUAUUGCACAAUGGGCGCAAGCCGGAUGAAGCCAUGCCGCGUGGGUGAAGAAGGCCUUCGGGUUGUAAAGCACUUUCAGCGAGGAGGCGUUACUCGCAGAAGAAGCACCGGCUAACUCCGUGCCAGCAGCCGCGGUAAUUC
RNAcentral lists this ribosomal RNA (403 nucleotides) under uncultured bacterium. RNAcentral's name for it is "partial 16S ribosomal RNA". It matches the Rfam family "Bacterial small subunit ribosomal RNA", at positions 28 to 526 of the family's 1533-position model. The record is from RNAcentral.